AAGAACCGGUGGAAGUGACAUGGGUGGGCAGUGGCAGGAGGUAGCAGAAGCAAGCAGCUGUGGAGACAUCACUUGACUACCACCCCGAGGCAGAAGAUGAUCCCACUUGAACACUCCACUGGAUUCUGGGACUUCACUGACCUCAAACAACCAACUCUGAGAGGGGUGCAGCAGAGGGCAAAGGAGUGUGGUAUGUUAAAGGGACAUUAGUCCAUCAGAGACUUUCACAAAGCAAGGUGGGAAACUGAGGCAUAGGACUGCUGCCCCAAGAUACUGAGGGUUCUUCCCUGAUUCCUUGAAGGACUGUUUAUCAGAAGAAAAUUAAGACAAUAAACCUCCUGUAGUUCUAAGUCUGAACAGGGAUGGCAGAUAUCUGCCCCUUCUGCAGGCCACAAGGCUGCUAUUGCUCCUUCCUGCAGACAUGCAUACUGAAGAGUGUGCAAGGACCACAGCAUCCGCUCCCUGGAAAGAACAACACUGCCUUCUCAUGGAGGAACAGGUGCCUUUGCAUUGGCUUGAAACGUGCCAAAUCCUUCACUUUUGAGUGACCUUUUUUAUGAUCAGUCCAUACAUUGAAGGAUCCUUGCAUUAAAAGCUUG
Molecule: long non-coding RNA, 599 nt
Organism: Mauremys reevesii (Reeves's turtle)
Lineage: Eukaryota; Metazoa; Chordata; Testudines; Geoemydidae
Exons: 3
Source: RefSeq, a predicted model, not a curated record